Molecule: ribosomal RNA, 237 nt
Filed under: uncultured bacterium
Lineage: Bacteria
Description: partial 16S ribosomal RNA
Rfam family: Bacterial small subunit ribosomal RNA
Source: RNAcentral
UACGUAGGGUGCGAGCGUUAAUCGGAAUUACUGGGCGUAAAGCGUGCGCAGGCGGUUGGUUAAGACAGGUGUGAAAUCCCCGAGCUCAACUUGGGAAUUGCGCUUGUUAACUGGCCAGCUAGAGUGUGUCAGAGGGAGGUAGAAUUCCACGUGUAGCAGUGAAAUGCGUAGAGAUGUGGAGGAAUACCGAUGGCGAAGGCAGCCUCCUGGGAGUAACACUGACGCUCGAUGCACGAA